AGAACGAACGCUGGCGGCAUGCCUAAUACAUGCAAGUCGAACGAACUCUUCGGAGUUAGUGGCGCACGGGUGCGUAACGCGUGGGAAUCUGCCCUUGGGUUCGGAAUAACAGUUGGAAACGACUGCUAAUACCGGAUGAUGACGAAAGUCCAAAGAUUUAUCGCCCAGGGAUGAGCCCGCGUAGGAUUAGCUAGUUGGUGAGGUAAAGGCUCACCAAGGCGACGAUCCUUAGCUGGUCUGAGAGGAUGAUCAGCCACACUGGGACUGAGACACGGCCCAGACUCCUACGGGAGGCAGCAGUAGGGAAUAUGGACAAUGGGCGAAAGCCUGAUCCAGCAAUGCCGCGUGAGUGAUGAAGGCCUUAGGGUUGUAAGUCUCUUUUACCGAGAUGAUAAUGACAGUAUCGGAAGAAUACGCCCGGACUAACUCCGCGCCGAGCAGCCGCGGU
This 448-nucleotide ribosomal RNA is filed under the name uncultured soil bacterium. RNAcentral describes it as "bacterial SSU rRNA". It matches the Rfam family "Bacterial small subunit ribosomal RNA", at positions 26 to 521 of the family's 1533-position model. The record is from RNAcentral.